Molecule: ribosomal RNA, 460 nt
Filed under: uncultured bacterium
Lineage: Bacteria
Description: partial 16S ribosomal RNA
Rfam family: Bacterial small subunit ribosomal RNA
Source: RNAcentral
CCUACGGGUGGCAGCAGUGAGGAAUAUUGGUCAAUGGACGCAAGUCUGAACCAGCCAUGCCGCGUGCAGGAAGACGGCCCUAUGAGUUGUAAACUGCUUUUGUACGAGGGUAAACGCAGAUACGCGUAUCUGUCUGAAAGUAUCGUAUGAAUAAGGAUCGGCUAACUCCGUGCCAGGAGCCGCGGUAAUACGGAGGAUUCGAGCGUUAUCCGGAUUUAUUGGGUUUAAAGGGUGCGUAGGCGGGCGGAUAAGUUAGUGGUGAAAUUCCGAGGCUCAACUUCGGAAUUGCAUCGGAUACUGUUCGGCUAGAGAGUAGUUGCGGUAGGCGGAAUGUAUGGUGUAGCGGUGAAAUGCUUAGAUAUCAUACAGAACACCGAUUGCGAAGGCAGCUUACCAAGCUACUUCUGACGUUGAGGCACGAAAGCGUGGGGAGCAAACAGGAUUAGAUACCCCUGUAGUC